This 1252-nucleotide long non-coding RNA is filed under the name Callithrix jacchus (white-tufted-ear marmoset). RNAcentral describes it as "lncRNA (ENSCJAG00000085321.1)". The record is from RNAcentral. Lineage: Eukaryota; Metazoa; Chordata; Mammalia; Primates; Cebidae.
CAGCAAGUUAUUUUGUGGAUAUAAACAAACUGACUAUAUAGUUUAUAUGGCAAAAGACCCCGAAUAGUCAUCUCAAUGUUGAAGGAGAACAACUUUGGAGGAUACCAGAAUUCGACUUCAAGACUUGUAAUCAAGCUACAGUCAUCAAGAGAGCGUGGUAUUAGUGAAGGAACAGACAAAUGGAUGGAUAAUGGAACAGAAGAGAGAGCCCAGAGAUAGACUCACAUAAAUAGUCACCUGAUCUUAGACAAAGGAGCAAAGGGGAUACAGUGGAGCAAAGAUAGUCCUUCAACAAGUCGUGCCGAUUAACUGGAGAAUCACAUGCAAAAAAAGUAAUGAAAAAUCUAGACACGGAUCUUACAGUCAUCACAAAAAUUAGCUCAAAAUAGAGCUAAUUGUAAAUGUAAAACAUAAAACUAUGACAUUUCUAGAAGACAAUAGGGAAAAAGAUAGGUAAGUAUCAAUCUGGCAUUGACUCUUCAGAUAUGACGCCAGAAAGGAGACAGUGAUCACGGUGGGUGUCUGAAGAACAAGCAGCGACGCCAACAACCCUGAUUUCCUUUGUUGUCAUGGUGAUCAGUGUCUAUGAGACACUGUAAUGACAAAUCUAUGUCAUCAUAAUUUGUCCAAACAUGGAAUAUACAACACCGAGAUGGAGCCCAAAUGUAAACAAUGGACUCUCCGUGAGGAUGACGGGUCAGUAGAGGUCCCUCAAUUGUAACAGAUGCUCCACUCUGGAGGGCGAGGCUGAUAGUGGAGGAGGCUGUGCAGGCCAGAAGGCAGGCGGUACAUGGGAACUCUGUGCCUUCAUCUCAAUUUUCCUGUGGAACUGAAACUGCUGUGAAAAAUUAAGACUGUUAGAAACGCAGUUCGACGUGUUUGUGUGGGUCUGCUGGUGUCUCUUGAAGCGGGAGCAACUGCAUGUUUAACUUCAUAAGAAGCUGCCAAAUUGUUUUCCAAGAUGGUUGUACCAUUUUGCAUUCCCACCAGCAGCGCUUGAGACUUUCAGUUACUGGAACUUGCCAAUGUUUGGUGCUAUCAGUCUUUCCAAUUGACAUUGGGAAAAACCUACAGCUAGUAUCACACUUGAUGGAAAAGAGCAAAUGCUUUCCUACCCUGAAGGUGGGAACGAGCAAGGAUAACUGUUGCCACCACUGCUGUUCAACAUUGUACCACAGGGUCUAGCCACGCUAAUAGAAGAAGGUAAACUUUAAAAGGCAUACACAUUGGAAAGAAAGAAGUAAAACUGCCA